This is a long non-coding RNA of Ictalurus punctatus (channel catfish), 2280 nucleotides long. Lineage: Eukaryota; Metazoa; Chordata; Actinopteri; Siluriformes; Ictaluridae. The record is from Ensembl.
GUCUAGGUCAUGUAUUUCGACGUAUGUGUAUAACUUAUUAGUCUUGCUGAUCGGACAUAACGCCGCAGUGAAAAAGCAGAAGGGGAGGCCGCCAGUACCUCUACCUCACUGAAGGGGGCGUGUGUGAGCAUGUAGCUUGUUCUGCUAUUGUUUUUCUUCACAUAUUACAGACAAAUGGCAUUGUGGGUAAUAUGCUAGCUAAAAAAAAAAAAGGAAAGUGCACCGCAUCAGUCCGUCUAUUCAAAUUUUUUGCCCUGGCUGCAAAAAUGGAAGAUUAUAUAUAUGUAAGCUAAAACAUUUCUGAAAGCUGGACUUUCGAUCAAAACUGGAAGUGAUAAAUGAUGAUAAAUACGGUAUUAAAAAGUAUUCGAUUUGAAGUGUUGAUAACUGCAGACGCUGAACUGUACGUUCAGUACGACAUUGUGAAAGUGUAGAAGAGCAGCAUUUUAAUUGAACUCUCUUCCUCUGCCUGUCUGUAUUGCGCUGUUGUGCAGUGAGGUUUGUUAUGCACUUCUACACACUUGUCAUGUGGUGAGAGCCUCACCUCUGCUGAAUAAGAAACUCUGCGGACGGAGGAACUUUCAGGGACACGCAGCGUUCAGGGGGGACGAAAAUGGAGUUUCACUGUAACUCUGUGGAAAGCCGGUCUCUUCGUUCGGUUCGGUCUUUGGGUGGCCGUGACUUUUGACCUCCGCUAAUGAAAAGUCCUCCUGAGACUUUGUUUAGCCUUUGCCAUGUGUGGAAAGCCAUUAUUAUUACUGCGCUCAGAGCAUGUCCGGGUCCACCCGAGAGAGAGAGAACAAAUGCCUGAAGGACGCUUGGAGCUACUCACUGAGGGAGAAGGCACUGUCAAGAGAGAAAGACUGUUUUUACCCACAAUGCCUUUAGUCAGCAGUGACCUCUGAUCCAUCCUGCAUCUGCUUCUCCCAGCUGAGGUGGAGUGAACUCACACUGACCUCUCGACGUGGGACAGAGCUCAGAGCAGCUGGGUCUGAGAGGAAGGUGUGGCGAGGAUAAAACACUUGCUGAAGAAGCUCCACAGUUCCACACUGAUACACAAACUCAUAGCCUGUGUGUCUGUUUAUCUCAGUGAAGGAGGUGGGGCUUCUGUAUCAGUCUCAGUGAAGGAGGUGGGGCUUCUGUAUCAGUCUCAGUGAAGGAGGUGGGGCUUCUGUCUCAGUGAAGGAGGCGUGGCCUUUGUAUCUGUCAGUCUCGGUGAAAGAAGUGUGGCUUCUGUAUCAGUGAAGGAGGAGUGGCCUGUGUGCUAGUCUCAGUGAAGGAGGAGUGGCCUGUGUGUUAGUCUCAGUGAAGGAGGUGUGGCUUCUGUAUCAGUCUCAGUGAAGGAGGCGUGGCCUUUGUGUCUGUCAGUCUCGGUGAAGGAAGUGUGGCUUCUGUAUCAGUGAAGGAGGAGUGGCCUGUGUGCUAGUCUCAGUGAAGGAGGAGUGGCCUGUGUGUUAGUCUCAGUGAAGGAGGUGUGGCUUCUGUAUCAGUCUCAGUGAAGGAGGCGUGGCCUUUGUGUCUGUCAGUCUCGGUGAAGGAAGUGUGGCUUCUGUAUCAGUGAAGGAGGAGUGGCCUGUGUGCUAGUCUCAGUGAAGGAGGAGUGGCCUGUGUGUUAGUCUCAGUGAAGGAGGUGUGGCUUCUGUAUCAGUCUCAGUGAAGGAGGCGUGGCCUGUGUGUUCGUCUCAGUGAAGGAGGCGUGGCUUCUGUAUCAGUCUCAGUGAAGGAGGCGUGGCUUCUGUAUCAGUCUCAGUGAAGGAGGUGUGGCCUUUGUGUCUGUCAGUCUCGGUGAAGGAAGUGUGGCUUCUGUAUCAGUGAAGGAGGUGUGGCUUCUGUAUCAGUCUCAGUGAAGGAGGCGUGGCCUGUGUGUUCGUCUCAGAGAAGGAGGUGUGGCUUCUGUAUCAGUCUCAGUGAAGGAGGCGUGGCCUGUGUGUUCGUCUCAGAGAAGGAGGUGUGGUUUCUGUAUCAGCCUCAGUGAAGGAGGCGUGGCUUCUGUAUCAGUCUCAGUGGAAGAAGUGUGGCUUGUGUAUCGGUAACAGUGAAGAAGGUGUGGCUUCUGUAUCAGUCUCAGUAAAGGAGGCAUGGCUUAUGUGUUAGUCUCAGUGAAGGAGGCGUGGCUUCUGUAUGAUGACCUAUAUGCUUGUCAAUCUCAUUGAAAGAGGUGUGACCUGUGUCUGUCAGUUCCCUAAAAGAUGCCAUAUUCUAUAUUUCUGUGAGUUCCUGUGUGGUAUCUCACUGAUUGUGUGGCCCACACACACACCUACACACACUCUCUCUCACACA